AAACCACUUAAGAACGACGACAUCAGAGAUUGGCACCCNGGGGUAGUGCGCAACGAGCGCAACCCCUGUGCUUUAGUUGCCAGCGCGUGCAUGGCGGGGACUCUAGAGAGACUGCCGGUGCCAAACCGGAGGAAGGUGGGGAUGACGUCAAGUCAUCAUGGUCCUUACGUCUAGGGCUACACACGUGCUACAAUGGCGGGGACAGAGGGUCGCGAGCCGGCAACGGCAAGCCAAUCCCGUAAACCCCGCCUCAGUUCGGAUUGUCGUCUGCAACCCGACGGCAUGAAGCUGGAAUCGCAUGUAAUCGUGGAUCAACUACGCCACGGUGAAUACGUUCCCGGGCCUUGUACACACCGCCCGUCACGCCAUGGAAGCUGUGAGCGCGCGAAGUACGUGUCGAAACCCUCACGGAGUCAAGCGGCCGAAGGCGAGCGCAGUGACUGGGGCGAAGUCGUAACAUGGUAGCCGUACGGGAACCUGCGACUGGAUCACCUCGUUAUCGGAUCGCUAGUAACCGCCCGGCACGUACCACCGGGAACNGGGNANCGNCAUCUUCGNUAGCNUCGNCCUUCNGCCGCUCCGAAACNACCAAUUUUCCCUGGGUUGCCCAGUGGCCC
RNAcentral lists this ribosomal RNA (617 nucleotides) under uncultured bacterium. Its description in RNAcentral is "bacterial SSU rRNA". The stretch from base 1 to 499 matches the Rfam family "Bacterial small subunit ribosomal RNA", at positions 1082 to 1533 of the family's 1533-position model. The record is from RNAcentral.